UGCGCAGGCGGGCUUGUAAGUCAGUGGUGAAAUACUGCCGCUUAACGGUAGAACUGCCAUUGAUACUGCGAGUCUUGAAUAUGGUUAAGGUAGGCGGAAUGUGUUGUGUAGCGGUGAAAUGCAUAGAUAUGACACAGAACGCCGAUUGCGAAGGCAGCUUACUAAGCCAUUAUUGACGCUGAGGCACGAAAGCGUGGGGAGCGAACAGGAUUAGAUACCCUGGUAGUCC
This 229-nucleotide ribosomal RNA is filed under the name uncultured bacterium. RNAcentral's name for it is "partial 16S ribosomal RNA". It matches the Rfam family "Bacterial small subunit ribosomal RNA", at positions 568 to 796 of the family's 1533-position model. The record is from RNAcentral.